UACGUAGGGGGCAAGCGUUGUCCGGAAUUAUUGGGCGUAAAGAGCGCGUAGGCGGUCCGGUAAGUCGGUUGUGAAAGUCGGGGGCUCAACCCUCGGAUGCCGAUCGAUACUGUCGGGCUAGAGUCCGGAAGAGGCGAGUGGAAUUCCUGGUGUAGCGGUGAAAUGCGCAGAUAUCAGGAGGAACACCAAUGGCGAAGGCAGCUCGCUGGGACGGUACCGACGCUGAGGCGCGAAAGCGUGGGGAGCAAACAGG
RNAcentral lists this ribosomal RNA (253 nucleotides) under uncultured bacterium. RNAcentral describes it as "partial 16S ribosomal RNA". It matches the Rfam family "Bacterial small subunit ribosomal RNA", at positions 524 to 776 of the family's 1533-position model. The record is from RNAcentral.